UGAAGGCCCCAUGGAAGAAUUCUCACAGGGAGGCAGAUGCUGUUGGAAGGAGAGAGCCUGGAAUGUCCGUAGUGGUCAAGAGAAAUGGAAUCCAAGAACACUCGAGAGUAACAACUGCACAGUUUCCUGGGGAAAUUUAAGACAUGUCAGCACAAAUCUAGACUGAGACUGACUCAUUCGGCAGGAAGAAUAUGUCUACAUGCCAGAGUAAGCAGAAAAUGGGGUGAGAUCUCAAGAAAAGGGAGUGGGAAGGCAGUUUACAAUUUAAGAU
RNAcentral lists this long non-coding RNA (271 nucleotides) under Homo sapiens (human). RNAcentral describes it as "HSALNT0202155". The record is from RNAcentral. Lineage: Eukaryota; Metazoa; Chordata; Mammalia; Primates; Hominidae.